GAUGAACGCUGGCGGCGUGCCUAAUACAUGCAAGUCGAGCGAACGGACGAGAAGCUUGCUUCUCUGAUGUUAGCGGCGGACGGGUGAGUAACACGUGGAUAACCUACCUAUAAGACUGGGAUAACUUCGGGAAACCGUAGCUAAUACCGGAUAAUAUUUUGAACGGCAUGGUUCAAAAGUGAAAGACGGUCUUGCUGUCACUUAUAGAUGGAUCCGCGCUGCAUUAGCUAGUUGGUAAGGUAACGGCUUACCAAGGCAACGAUGCAUAGCCGACCUGAGAGGAUGAUCAGCCACACUGGAACUGAGACACGGUCCAGACUCCUACGGGAGGCAGCAGUAGGGAAUCUUCCGCAAUGGGCGCAAGCCUGACGGAGCCACGCCGCGUGAGUGAUGAAGGUCUUCGGAUCGUAAAACUCUGUUAUUAGGGAAGAACAGAUGUGUAAGUAACUGUGCACAUCUUGACGGUACCUAAUCAGAAAGCCCCGGCUAACUACGUG
RNAcentral lists this ribosomal RNA (497 nucleotides) under uncultured bacterium. RNAcentral describes it as "partial 16S ribosomal RNA". It matches the Rfam family "Bacterial small subunit ribosomal RNA", at positions 28 to 507 of the family's 1533-position model. The record is from RNAcentral.